This 1037-nucleotide long non-coding RNA is filed under the name Marmota monax (woodchuck). The record is from RNAcentral. Lineage: Eukaryota; Metazoa; Chordata; Mammalia; Rodentia; Sciuridae.
CACAAGUAACAAGUCUAGUUUCCCUUCUCCCUGUACAACUAUUGGAAUUCACUCCUGCAGUACCUAUUUCACCUGAGGCUCACUGGUGCCAACAGAUAUGAGGGUCUCUAAGGCACCUUUACUUUGAUUCUCAAUCUCAAGCCUGCAGUGGUAACAUAACUAGACUUCCUUCAUGUUGAAGUGUACACACGUGAGAUUGAUAGACUUUCUAAUUGGCCACCCUCGGAAAAUGUUUCUAGACCUCAUGAUCAAGAACUUUCAGACAAUACCAAUGAGGCCCCCUCAGGAACAUUAACUCAGAUAAAAGCCUUAGCCUAAGACACACUAAGGGCUCACAACAGAACCCUUUGCUUAGGUGUUUACAGGUAUACAACCAAGGUCUUUCACCUUGUAAGUGAAAGCUAACAGCUCCACUAUCACCCAGCACAACUGGCAAAAAAAGGUAGAACCAUCCAGUAGUGAGGCACAAGCUGUGUUAGGACAAGCUAUGGCCUGUUGCAGAAUCAUCUUGAGCCAUUCCCAUCAACAGCUGCUCUCCAGGGCUCAAAGGACACUGUCUUAUCUCUUCCUUGUUUCCCCAUCCCCAGCUCUCCAAACCAAGAUCCAAUUUUCCAGGACAAGGAGAUUUAUCCCAAUUCAUAGCUGGCUGUUAUUUAAAAACCAAUCAUUGCGAAGCCAGGUGCAGUGGUGCACACCUGCAAUCUCAGUAGCUUGGGAGGCUGAGGCAGGAGGAUCGCCUCAACAAAGCCAGCCUCAACAAAGGUGAGGUGCUUAGCAGUUCAGUGACACCCUGUCUCUAAAUAAAAUACAAAAUAGGGUUGGAGAUGUGGCUCAGUGGACUGAGGGCCCCUGAAUUCAAUAUCUAGUACCAUCCUGCCCCCAAAUCAUUGCCAGGUGCAGUGGCACAUGGGUGUAUUCCCAGCAACUUAGGAGGCUAAGGCAGGAGGGCUGUGAGUUCAAGGACAGCCUAGGCAACUUAUGGAGACCCUAUCUCAAAAAAAUAUAUAUAUAUUACUGGGGAUGUAGCUCAUUAUGAC